AGUGAACGCUGGCGGUAGGCCUAACACAUGCAAGUCGAACGGCAGCACAGUAAGAGCUUGCUCUUACGGGUGGCGAGUGGCGGACGGGUGAGGAAUACAUCGGAAUCUACUUUUUCGUGGGGGAUAACGUAGGGAAACUUACGCUAAUACCGCAUACGACCUACGGGUGAAAGCAUGGGAUCUUCGGACCUUGCGCGAUUGAAUGAGCCGAUGUCGGAUUAGCUAGUUGGCGGGGUAAAGGCCCACCAAGGCGACGAUCCGUAGCUGGUCUGAGAGGAUGAUCAGCCGCACUGGAACUGAGACACGGUCCAGACUCCUACGGGAGGCAGCAGUGGGGAAUAUUGGACAAUGGGCGCAAGCCUGAUCCAGCCAUACCGCGUGGGUGAAGAAGGCCUUCGGGUUGUAAAGCCCUUUUGUUGGGAAAGAAAAGCAGCAGGUUAAUACCCCGCUGUUCUGACGGUACCCAAAGAAUAAGCACCGGCUAACUUCGUG
This 492-nucleotide ribosomal RNA is filed under the name uncultured bacterium. RNAcentral describes it as "partial 16S ribosomal RNA". It matches the Rfam family "Bacterial small subunit ribosomal RNA", at positions 29 to 507 of the family's 1533-position model. The record is from RNAcentral.